GACAGAGGGGGCGAGCGUUAUCCGGGAACACCGGGCGUAAAGCGCGCGCCGGCGGGAACCUAAGUGGCGUGUGAAAGCCCCCGGCUCAACCGGGGGAGGCCAUGGCAAACUGGGUCGCUCGAGCUGCGGAGAGGCCCCUCGAAUUGCCGGUGUAGCGGUGAAAUGCGUAGAGAUCGGCAGGAAGACCAAGGGGGAAGCCAGGGGGCUGGCCGCAGGCUGACGCUGAGGCGCGACAGCGUGGGGAGCAAACCGG
RNAcentral lists this ribosomal RNA (253 nucleotides) under uncultured bacterium. RNAcentral's name for it is "partial 16S ribosomal RNA". It matches the Rfam family "Bacterial small subunit ribosomal RNA", at positions 524 to 776 of the family's 1533-position model. The record is from RNAcentral.